RNAcentral lists this non-coding RNA (46 nucleotides) under Trypanosoma brucei brucei. The record is from RNAcentral. Lineage: Eukaryota; Euglenozoa; Kinetoplastea; Trypanosomatida; Trypanosomatidae.
AAAACAACAUAGAAAGUGAAUCAGAGAAUGGCAUAAGAUAUAUUAU